GGGGGGACCAUCCUCCAAGGCUAAAUACUCCUGACUGACCGAUAGUGAACCAGUACCGUGAGGGAAAGGCGAAAAGAACCCCGGCGAGGGGAGUGAAAAAGAACCUGAAACCGUGUACGUACAAGCAGUGGGAGCACCUUCGGGUGUGACUGCGUACCUUUUGUAUAAUGGGUCAGCGACUUAUAUUCUGUAGCAAGGUUAACCGUAUAGGGGAGCCGCAGGGAAACCGAGUCUUAACUGGGCGUUAAGUUGCAGGGUAUAGACCCGAAACCCGGUGAUCUAGCCAUGGGCAGGUUGAAGGUUGGGUAACACUAACUGGAGGACCGAACCGACUAAUGUUGAAAAAUUAGCGGAUGACUUGUGGCUGGGGGUGAAAGGCCAAUCAAACCGGGAGAUAGCUGGUUCUCCCCGAAAGCUAUUUAGGUAGCGCCUCGUGAACUCAUCUUCGGGGGUAGAGCACUGUUUCGGCUAGGGGGUCAUCCCGACUUACCAACCCGAUGCAAACUACGAAUACCGAAGAAUGUUAUCACGGGAGACACACGGCGGGUGCUAACGUCCGUCGUGAAGAGGGAAACAACCCAGACCGCCAGCUAAGGUCCCAAAGUCAUGGUUAAGUGGGAAACGAUGUGGGAAGGCACAGACAGCCAGGAUGUUGGCUUAGAAGCAGCCAUCAUUUAAAGAAAGCGUAAUAGCUCACUGGUCGAGUCGGCCUGCGCGGAAGAUGUAACGGGGCUAAACCAUGCACCGAAGCUGCGGCAGCGACACUAUGUGUUGUUGGGUAGGGGAGCGUUCUGUAAGCCUGCGAAGGUGUGCUGUGAGGCAUGCUGGAGGUAUCAGAAGUGCGAAUGCUGACAUAAGUAACGAUAAAGCGGGUGAAAAGCCCGCUCGCCGGAAGACCAAGGGUUCCUGUCCAACGUUAAUCGGGGCAGGGUGAGUCGACCCCUAAGGCGAGGCCGAAAGGCGUAGUCGAUGGGAAACAGGUUAAUAUUCCUGUACUUGGUGUUACUGCGAAGGGGGGACGGAGAAGGCUAUGUUAGCCGGGCGACGGUUGUCCCGGUUUAAGCAUGUAGGCUGGUUGUCCAGGCAAAUCCGGAUAAUCAAGGCUGAGGUGUGAUGACGAGGCACUACGGUGCUGAAGUAACAAAUGCCCUGCUUCCAGGAAAAGCCUCUAAGCAUCAGGUAACAUCAAAUCGUACCCCAAACCGACACAGGUGGUCAGGUAGAGAAUACCAAGGCGCUUGAGAGAACUCGGGUGAAGGAACUAGGCAAAAUGGUGCCGUAACUUCGGGAGAAGGCACGCUGGUGUGUAGGUGAAGUCCCUGCGGAUGGAGCUGAGACCAGUCGAAGAUACCAGCUGGCUGCAACUGUUUAUUAAAAACACAGCACUGUGCAAACACGAAAGUGGACGUAUACGGUGUGACGCCUGCCCGGUGCCGGAAGGUUAAUUGAUGGGGUUAUCCGUAAGGAGAAGCUCUUGAUCGAAGCCCCGGUAAACGGCGGCCGUAACUAUAACGGUCCUAAGGUAGCGAAAUUCCUUGUCGGGUAAGUUCCGACCUGCACGAAUGGCGUAAUGAUGGCCAGGCUGUCUCCACCCGAGACUCAGUGAAAUUGAACUCGCUGUGAAGAUGCAGUGUACCCGCGGCAAGACGGAAAGACCCCGUGAACCUUUACUAUAGCUUGACACUGAACAUUGAGCCUUGAUGUGUAGGAUAGGUGGGAGGCUUUGAAGCGUGGACGCCAGUCUGCGUGGAGCCAACCUUGAA
This 1763-nucleotide ribosomal RNA is filed under the name Klebsiella pneumoniae. Its description in RNAcentral is "bacterial LSU rRNA". It matches the Rfam family "Bacterial large subunit ribosomal RNA", at positions 446 to 2196 of the family's 2925-position model. Lineage: Bacteria; Pseudomonadati; Pseudomonadota; Gammaproteobacteria; Enterobacterales; Enterobacteriaceae. The record is from RNAcentral.